RNAcentral lists this ribosomal RNA (465 nucleotides) under Vreelandella stevensii. Its description in RNAcentral is "partial 16S ribosomal RNA". It matches the Rfam family "Bacterial small subunit ribosomal RNA", at positions 338 to 795 of the family's 1533-position model. The record is from RNAcentral. Lineage: Bacteria; Pseudomonadati; Pseudomonadota; Gammaproteobacteria; Oceanospirillales; Halomonadaceae.
CCUACGGGGGGCAGCAGUGGGGAAUAUUGGACAAUGGGGGCAACCCUGAUCCAGCCAUGCCGCGUGUGUGAAGAAGGCCCUCGGGUUGUAAAGCACUUUCAGUGAGGAAGAACGCCUGGUGGUUAAUACCCAUCAGGAAAGACAUCACUCACAGAAGAAGCACCGGCUAACUCCGUGCCAACAGCCGCGGUAAUACGGAGGGUGCGAGCGUUAAUCGGAAUUACUGGGCGUAAAGCGCGCGUAGGUGGCUUGAUAAGCCGGUUGUGAAAGCCCCGGGCUCAACCUGGGAACGGCAUCCGGAACUGUCAAGCUAGAGUGCAGGAGAGGAAGGUAGAAUUCCCGGUGUAGCGGUGAAAUGCGUAGAGAUCGGGAGGAAUACCAGUGGCGAAGGCGGCCUUCUGGACUGACACUGACACUGAGGUGCGAAAGCGUGGGUAGCAAACAGGAUUAGAUACCCGAGUAGUC